UAGGUUUGCCCCAUUGUUUAUUUAGGGAUUAUUUAUACCUAUUUAAUUUUGAAAUUCAGAAUAUUGUGUACAUCAGUUCACUCCUUUAAUUAACUGCAUUUGACCAAAAGAUUUUAGUAAACUUAUAGAUGUGUCAAGGUUGCUGAUGAAAUGAUGGGAAGUAGUUGUUAACCUACAAGACAGAUGAACAGUUAUUGCUGGAGAACAUAAAAUCUCGUUUCUGAGUAAGGUAUUUGCUGAGGUUUGUAUCAGGAGUCCCCAACCUCCUCUGAAUGAAAAACUGUUUAAUUUCCCAGAAGCCAUUGAUGGGGGAAAUCAUUACUCAGGAAGGAUGCUUUAUGCAGUGCAGGAAACGAAUCAUAUCAUCUGAAAGUAACCAGAUGACAGAAGAAGGGCAGGAUGUGUGGCCUUUUGAAGAAGUCAGGAAAUCCUCUACACCAGAGAACCUGCCCCACACCCAUUAUCAUCUUUGACCAG
This 477-nucleotide long non-coding RNA is filed under the name Bos taurus (domestic cattle). RNAcentral's name for it is "long non-coding RNA NONBTAT001483". The record is from RNAcentral. Lineage: Eukaryota; Metazoa; Chordata; Mammalia; Artiodactyla; Bovidae.